Long non-coding RNA from Clupea harengus (Atlantic herring), 917 nucleotides. RefSeq lists it as uncharacterized. The transcript is spliced from 3 exons. NCBI's taxonomy places the organism in Eukaryota, Metazoa, Chordata, Actinopteri, Clupeiformes, Clupeidae. The record is from RefSeq and is a predicted model, not a curated record.
GGACAAUCCAUCCCAUCCUAAUAUACAGGCCAUCUUCACAUCUACAGGCCAUUCAACAUGCUAUCAUCCAAAUGGACUAAUUUGGGUGAACCUGACCCAGCUAGAGGGGAUGCACUGCAGUGAGACUGGCACUUUGAGACAGCACUGGAGCUGGCAUGACCUUGGACCGCACAUUCAUCCUCUUCCAUUCCAUCCUCUCUAUCUCUCCCUCAAUCCCUUUAUCAGCCUUUGCAUACUAACACAGGAGCGCAUACUCCUCACUUUUAGCCACUGCUCGUGCCGGGUGCGCUUCAAUGUGGGCGCCAAGCUCAAGCUUACGUACCCAAAAGGCCUAAUACUGCCAGGACCAGACACCCUGCAGAAGCAUCUCCAAAUUAAAUGUCUGGAGAUUUACUCUCUCUUGGACAGAAUCCAGACACACAUCGCCUAUCAGCACAUGCCCAGUCACCAGAACAUAAAGCCCCUCUACGGACUCAUCGCCCAAAUGGAGAGACUAAGGAGACAGGUGGACCGGCAGACUCCACCAAAGAAUUUAAAAACGCCAGUUCCACCCAAAGAAGCAUAAUCCUAGUCAUCAUUAAAUAUUCAAACGUUGUAAUAAAUACAUGUGAAUGCAUUUCUCAAGAAAAAUAAAAAAAAUUCAACAGUAAUAAAAUCCAUGAAUAACUGAAAGGCUAACUAUAAUGGUUCUACAUUCAAACAUAUCGAGCAUAUCUGGUGUGAAGUUUCCCGACAAGACAAUGAGGCUGAAUAAACGUAGGCUAAGAGCUUGAUCAGAAGUAUAAUGCCACUAAAGUGCAUUUAGCUCUGCACUUCAGAACAGUGCCCGGCAACAACCACUUAAUUUACCGUAAUUUAAUUAAUUCCACUAAUUGUCUGUACUACAAUCGCUACGCUUACUGUCUAAUAAGUGAUAA